This 397-nucleotide ribosomal RNA is filed under the name uncultured bacterium. RNAcentral's name for it is "bacterial SSU rRNA". It matches the Rfam family "Bacterial small subunit ribosomal RNA", at positions 358 to 772 of the family's 1533-position model. The record is from RNAcentral.
GGAAUAUUGGACAAUGGGCGAAAGCCUGAUCCAGCAAUGCCGCGUGAGUGAUGAAGGCCUUAGGGUUGUAAAGCUCGUUUACCAGGGAUGAUAAUGACAGUACCUGGAGAAUAAGCUGCGGCUAACUCCGUGCAAGCAGCCGCGGUAAUACGGAGGGAGCUAGCGUUGUUCGGAAUUACUGGGCGUAAAGCGCACGUAGGCGGCUUUUUAAGUCAGGGGUGAAAUCCCGGGGCUCAACCCCGGAACUGCCCUUGAAACUGGAAUGCUAGAAUCUUGGAGAGGCGAGUGGAGUUCCGAGUGUAGAGGUGAAAUUCGUAGAUAUUCGGAAGAACACCAGUGGCGAAGGCGACUCGCUGGACAAGUAUUGACGCUGAGGUGCGAAAGCGUGGGGAGCAAA